This 432-nucleotide ribosomal RNA is filed under the name uncultured bacterium. Its description in RNAcentral is "partial 16S ribosomal RNA". It matches the Rfam family "Bacterial small subunit ribosomal RNA", at positions 29 to 507 of the family's 1533-position model. The record is from RNAcentral.
ACGAACGCUGGCGGCAUGCCUAACACAUGCAAGUCGAACGAGACCUUCGGGUCUAGUGGCGCACGGGUGCGUAACGCGUGGGAACCUGCCCUUAGGUUCGGAAUAACUCCCCGAAAGGGGUGCUAAUACCGGAUAAUGUCUUCGGACCAAAGAUUUAUCGCCUUUGGAUGGGCCCGCGUUGGAUUAGCUAGUUGGUAGGGUAAAAGCCUACCAAGGCGACGAUCCAUAGCUGGUCUGAGAGGAUGAUCAGCCACACUGGGACUGAGACACGGCCCAGACUCCUACGGGAGGCAGCAGUGGGGAAUAUUGGACAUUGGGCGAAAGCCUGAUCCAGCAAUGCCGCGUGAGUGAUGAAGGCCUUAGGGUUGUAAAGCUCUUUUACCCGGGAUGAUAAUGACAGUACCGGGAGAAUAAGCUCCGGCUAACUCCGUG